UACGUAGGGGCCUAGCGUUGUCCGGAUUUAUUGGGCGUAAAGAGCUCGUAGGCGGUUUGGUAAGUCGGGUGUGAAAUCUCCACGCUCAACGUGGAGGGGCCACCCGAUACUGCCAUGACUGGAGUCCGGUAGGGGAGUGUGGAAUUCCCGGUGUAGCGGUGAAAUGCGCAGAUAUCGGGAGGAACACCAAUUGCGAAGGCAGCUCGCUGGGACGUUACUGACGCUGAGACGCGAAAGCGUGGGGAGCAAACAGG
RNAcentral lists this ribosomal RNA (254 nucleotides) under uncultured bacterium. Its description in RNAcentral is "partial 16S ribosomal RNA". It matches the Rfam family "Bacterial small subunit ribosomal RNA", at positions 524 to 776 of the family's 1533-position model. The record is from RNAcentral.